This 21-nucleotide non-coding RNA is filed under the name Caenorhabditis elegans. Lineage: Eukaryota; Metazoa; Nematoda; Chromadorea; Rhabditida; Rhabditidae. The record is from RNAcentral.
AACUGUGAAUGAAACGUCUGU